GGGCCCGUAGCUCAGCUUGGAUAGAGCGACUGGUUCCGAGCCCAGUAACCGGGAACGGAAGUCGAAGCUUCGGUCCA
Molecule: transfer RNA, 77 nt
Filed under: Candidatus Micrarchaeota archaeon CG1_02_55_41
Lineage: Archaea; Nanobdellati; Microcaldota
Also listed under: 3 other names
Description: tRNA-OTHER
Source: RNAcentral